UACGAAGGGGGCUAGCGUUGUUCGGAAUUACUGGGCGUAAAGCGUGCGCAGGCGGCUUCUCAAGUCAGGGGUGAAAGCCCAGAGCUCAACUCUGGAAUUGCCUUUGAGACUGAGUGGCUUGAGUACGAGAGAGGUGAGUGGAAUUCCCAGUGUAGAGGUGAAAUUCGUAGAUAUCAGGAGGAACACCUGUGGCGAAAGCGGCGCACUGGACCACAACUGACGCUGAGGCGCGAAAGCUAGGGGAGCAAACAGG
This 253-nucleotide ribosomal RNA is filed under the name uncultured bacterium. RNAcentral describes it as "partial 16S ribosomal RNA". It matches the Rfam family "Bacterial small subunit ribosomal RNA", at positions 524 to 776 of the family's 1533-position model. The record is from RNAcentral.